RNAcentral lists this ribosomal RNA (315 nucleotides) under uncultured eukaryote. Its description in RNAcentral is "partial large subunit ribosomal RNA". It matches the Rfam family "Eukaryotic large subunit ribosomal RNA", at positions 40 to 350 of the family's 3401-position model. The record is from RNAcentral.
AUAUCAGUAAGCGGAGGAAAAGAAACUAACAAGGAUUCCCUUAGUAACGGCGAGUGAAGUGGGAAAAGCUCAAAUUUUAAAUCUGGUACCAUCGGUAUCCGAAUUGUAUUUGAUAGAAUCAUCUUGGGGCUAUUAUCAUAGUUCAAGUCCUUUGGAAAGAGGCAUCAAAGAGGGUGACAAUCCCGUCUAGGCUAUGCAUAAUGGGUCCAUAUCAAGUUGAUUUAACGAGUCGGGUUGUUUGGGAAUGCAGCCCAAAAUGGGAGGUACAUUUCUCCUAAAGCUAAAUAUAGGCAAGAGACCGAUAGCGCACAAGUA